UACAACUAUGGCUAAACUAAU
RNAcentral lists this non-coding RNA (21 nucleotides) under Caenorhabditis elegans. Lineage: Eukaryota; Metazoa; Nematoda; Chromadorea; Rhabditida; Rhabditidae. The record is from RNAcentral.